UACGGGAGGCAGCAGUAGGGAAUCUUCGGCAAUGGGGGCAACCCUGACCGAGCAACGCCGCGUGAGUGAAGAAGGUUUUCGGAUCGUAAAGCUCUGUUGUAAGUCAAGAACGGGUGUGAGAGUGGAAAGUUCACACUGUGACGGUAGC
RNAcentral lists this ribosomal RNA (148 nucleotides) under uncultured Enterococcus sp. RNAcentral's name for it is "partial 16S ribosomal RNA". It matches the Rfam family "Bacterial small subunit ribosomal RNA", at positions 340 to 479 of the family's 1533-position model. Lineage: Bacteria; Bacillati; Bacillota; Bacilli; Lactobacillales; Enterococcaceae. The record is from RNAcentral.